RNAcentral lists this ribosomal RNA (253 nucleotides) under uncultured bacterium. RNAcentral's name for it is "partial 16S ribosomal RNA". It matches the Rfam family "Bacterial small subunit ribosomal RNA", at positions 524 to 776 of the family's 1533-position model. The record is from RNAcentral.
UACGGAGGGAGCUAGCGUUAUUCGGAAUUACUGGGCGUAAAGCGCACGUAGGCGGCUUUGUAAGUAAGAGGUGAAAGCCUGGAGCUCAACUCCAGAAUUGCCUUUUAGACUGCAUCGCUCGAAUCAUGGAGAGGUCAGUGGAAUUCCGAGUGUAGAGGUGAAAUUCGUAGAUAUUCGGAAGAACACCAGUGGCGAAGGCGGCUGACUGGACAUGUAUUGACGCUGAGGUGCGAAAGCGUGGGGAGCAAACAGG